This is a long non-coding RNA of Drosophila innubila, 1389 nucleotides long. RefSeq lists it as uncharacterized. The transcript has 4 exons. The record is from RefSeq and is a predicted model, not a curated record. Lineage: Eukaryota; Metazoa; Arthropoda; Insecta; Diptera; Drosophilidae.
GAGGUGCAUGCCUGAGUCCGUGCAGGCGUGAAAAGGCGUUGCUGAUGUAAUUUGCUUGGGCCAUAUGGGAAACAUUGUCAAAUCCUGAUUGUGCGUCACGCCGCGCAGGACAGCGCUGGGCGUCGCGUCCACUUGUCACCUCUGGCGGUCGCCAUCUGUGAAGUCGCCAUUGGCCAGCCAUAGAAGCAACUUGUGGCAGUGUUGGCGUCUCGUGUGACCGAAGUUGUCGUCUGGGGCGUCUCCAGGCAGGAGUCAGUGAAAUCUGAAAGAAAGGCGCCAAGAGUGUGACGGGCGCUGGCAUACAUACCAGGCUAGUCAGGAUUGACCAGCCAAUCAGCAGAAUAUCUGCAGCCGUGCAUCUGCGGGACAUGGAUGUGCGUCCUCCUGCAGUGCAGCUGUGAGAGAUAGGAUUUCUGGGCACGCUGCGUCGCAUUGCCAUCUCGUCGUCAUCAAGAAUGCGGAUGAGCUCCCUCUGGGUCUGCUCCAGGCCAAUGUUCAGCAAUGUUUCUUGGCUAGUGAUGGCUUCGUGUUGCUCUACGAUGAUUGGCUGCUGUGUAACCGAUUGUGCUGGCUGCUCAUCUGCGUCUUGUGAAGGCUGCGAGUCAGUUAGUGAAAAUGUUUCGACAGGUGGCGGCGGCUCUUGGCCUGGUCGAACAUAAUCUGGAAUGACGAUUCGUUGGAUAGCUGGCGGUUGAUCCCAGAUGAGGGCUAUAGCAACGUCUCUGGCGGCUGAUUGAAUCUUCUAGGAGGCGGGGGAUUUGUAUGCGUUGCUGGCGUUGGUAUCGUUGCCUGUGGAAUCUGCUCCCGUCUUUCGAUGACCUGAACUGGAUUCCUUUGCAUUGAUGGCGUUGGUAUCGUUGCCUCUGUAGACCGUUCCUGUCCCUCAAUUACAUAAUCAGGAACAAUUAUACGUUGUAUUGCCGCUGGCUGGCCCUGAAUAAUAGCCACCGCCGCCUCUCUUGAGGAGAACGGGAUCUCAGUAGCUGACGACGUCUGGUUUCCUCAGCCAAUCUUUCGGUCUCUUGCCUGUCCAGCUCUUCCUCUUCUAAGCGCAGUAGCGUGGGAAGAAACGGAAUGAUUUGUUGCCUUUGCUCCGGCCUAUCAUCGCGCUGGAUAUUGUCAUUCUGAACUGGUGAAUUUUGCGGGCCUUGGAUUUGAGCACGAGCUAGUGAUUGCAGCGGCAAAAUAUGUUGUUGUAAUUGCUGUAAAUAACGUGGCCUCCGUAGACGCUGCGGCUCAUAAGGCUGGAUUAUUAAAUUUCGUGCCUCGGGGUUUGCGUGAACUGAGCAAGAAUUGGCAAAGCGGGCGCUGGCUAGCUGAAAGACUUCAUCAAUUGAUUUUAGAUCGCUCUGUAAUCGAUUGACAUGAGUGUCACAUGUGAGGGCUCCC